Molecule: ribosomal RNA, 486 nt
Filed under: uncultured archaeon
Lineage: Archaea
Description: bacterial SSU rRNA
Rfam family: Archaeal small subunit ribosomal RNA
Source: RNAcentral
UACACGAAAGUGUGACGGGGUUACCCAAAGUGUUCAAUUUUGAACUGUGGUAGGUGAGUAAUGUUCCCUACUAGAAAGGAGAGGGCAAGGCUGGUGCCAGCCGCCGCGGUAAAACCAGCUCUUCAAGUGGUCGGGAUAAUUAUUGGGCUUAAAGUGUCCGUAGCCGGUUUAGUAAGUUCCUGGUAAAAUCGGGUAGCUUAACUAUCUAUAUGCUAGGAAUACUACUAUACUAGAGGGCGGGAGAGGUCUGAGGUACUACAGGGGUAGGGGUGAAAUCUUAUAAUCCUUGUUGGACCACCAGUGGCGAAGGCGUCAGACUGGAACGCGCCUGACGGUGAGGGACGAAAGCCAGGGGAGCGAACCGGAUUAGAUACCCGGGUAGUCCUGGCCGUAAACGAUGCAUACUAGGUGAUGGCACGGCCAUGAGCCGUGUCAGUGCCGUAGGGAAACCGUUAAGUGUGCCGCCUGGGAAGUACGGUCGCAAGG